UCUGAAGUUGGUGGCAGACUCCCCACUGACUUCAGUGGAGCUGAGAUUGUGCUGUAAAUAAAUAUAUCUGCUUCCAAAGGGUACAAGAGACAGAUCAAACAAGAGUGAGCUUUUCUUGUAUGUAGUAAGAUCUUUUUCCUCUAUUUCCUCCAUGGAUUUCUAAGGCAUUAAAUUUUCAUUAAAAAGAAAAUUACUUAAAAAUUUCAUUUACCUAGAGCCUCUGACCAUAUGCAGCCAUAUUGCCACAUAAGAAGCAAGUGUAUUAUCAGCUCCUAUUGGAAAUAAAGCUAUCUGUGCUUCAGCUGUGUACUGCUGCUGAGCAGGGAGAUGCCGCCUGAAUCUGCUGUCAGAGCAGCUCUCCAGGCUGGUGGGAGCUGACAGAUGGUUGCUCUGAAGUAUUUCCAAAAGAGGGGAAAAAAACAAGAAUCUCCCCACCCACUGCAAGUCCAUUGUUACUGCUGCAUUGUUGCUUGGUUGUUGCCCAUUUUAUGAGGGGAGCAGACCCAAGAAAUAAGAAGCAGAAAAGUCUUGGGAGUUUUUCUAGGAAUUGAGGUUUCUCUUUCAGCCAUGAGCAAAAUUAUAAUGAACAUAUUCCAAAGCUCACAGUAAAUCCCUUCCCAUCCUCAAGGCUCCCUCAAUGCUUAUCUUCCCAGCACUUUCCCUAGCCUCAGGUUAACCCCUGCACUACCAGGAUCUCUAGAACACUGUGAAGAAGGUACUUCAAUGACUACAUAUUCCUACUGGGUGCUUUGCCUUCCAGUAUCUUUCAAGUAAUUUUAAGUGGAUAUGGAGCUGUUAUAGCCCAAAAAAGUGAUUGUUAGCAGGGCGUUUUUUUUGUUUGUUUGUUUUUUUUUUAAAGGAGCAAAUAUCAAAACAUCAUGCUUUUCUAGCCCUGGGAUAUGCAGAGAUGUCACAACUCUUUGU
Long non-coding RNA from Pezoporus flaviventris, 924 nucleotides. RefSeq lists it as uncharacterized. NCBI's taxonomy places the organism in Eukaryota, Metazoa, Chordata, Aves, Psittaciformes, Psittacidae. The record is from RefSeq and is a predicted model, not a curated record. The transcript is spliced from 4 exons.